Non-coding RNA from Oncorhynchus mykiss (rainbow trout), 354 nucleotides. NCBI's taxonomy places the organism in Eukaryota, Metazoa, Chordata, Actinopteri, Salmoniformes, Salmonidae. The record is from RefSeq and is a predicted model, not a curated record.
GGCUGGCUGCUGGGUGUUUAGGAGUGCUGUGUGUUCUACAAGUCAUUCUCAACAUCUCCCUGAGACUGGCUUUCUAUAACAGAGGCAAUGUGACUGUAGAGAAAGACCUGCUACAGACCAGUUACAACACCCUGACUAAAGAGAGAGACCAGCUACAGACCAGUUACAACAUCCUGACUAAAGAGAGAGACAAGCUACAGAAGGAAAGAGAUGAUGUCAUGACAAAGUUCUCAAAUCUGAAACAAACCUGUCCUGAAGGCUGGCAGAUUAAGUUGGGAUCCAGUUGGUACUUCCUGUCUACUGAGACUAAAACCUGGAAGGAGAGCAGACAGGAUUGUCUGAAGAGAGGAGCAG